CUGAAAGGAGUCGCCAAUUGGGAAGAUGGCCAUACGGGGAACCUUCUCUGAUCCUCCUGUGAAGAAAGCAUUCACAGGAUGAUGCCAGGUAGCUCAAGCAAUGUCUCAGCUCCACCAUCAGGGCCUCAAGGACAGAACAAGGACAGAAUAAGAUAAAGGAGAGAGACACAAGGCUGGCAGCUGGUG
RNAcentral lists this small RNA (186 nucleotides) under Rattus norvegicus (Norway rat). Its description in RNAcentral is "uncharacterized LOC102547008". The record is from RNAcentral. Lineage: Eukaryota; Metazoa; Chordata; Mammalia; Rodentia; Muridae.